GAGGGUAUAGCUCAGUGGUAAAGUGCAUGCUUAGCAUGCACGAGGUCCUGGGUUCAAUCCCCAGUACCACCU
Molecule: transfer RNA, 72 nt
Filed under: Camelus bactrianus (Bactrian camel)
Lineage: Eukaryota; Metazoa; Chordata; Mammalia; Artiodactyla; Camelidae
Also listed under: 2 other names
Rfam family: tRNA
About the family: Transfer RNA (tRNA) molecules are approximately 80 nucleotides in length. Their secondary structure includes four short double-helical elements and three loops (D, anti-codon, and T loops).
Source: Rfam by way of RNAcentral